CUGAUCGCUGCUCAGGUCAGGCUGAGUAUUGGUCAGCAGGUGAAUGAAGAGAAGUAUGUACUUGAACUGGUGUUCAAAGCCAAAACAAUCAGUUAUGCCUGAAGUGAGUGGAUGCUUUCACCUUAAACAGCAGUAUCAUCUGCAGGACCAGCUCUGAGUUACAAUGCACAAGACACUACCCAAAAGAACAGACUGCUCAAAUAUUUUAUAGAUGACAUGGGUAAUACUGACAAGAGACGCAACAGCCACGCAAAUGAUCGCAGGGGUCUCCAUUAUGACAUACCCUGGAGGAAGCCACAUUGGCAAAUAUAUUUCAAUUACAAGUAAAAAUGUAUUGGUUGCUUUUUUUGAUUACACUACCGAAGUGAUUUCCCUGUUGUUUGGGUUUGGGUUUUUUCCCCACUGAAAAAGAAUCAGCAACAUCCGUGUUCCUACAUGAUGUAAGAUUUUAUACAGCAUUUGUAUAAUAAAGCAAAUUCUUCAAA
Molecule: long non-coding RNA, 485 nt
Organism: Strigops habroptila (Kakapo)
Lineage: Eukaryota; Metazoa; Chordata; Aves; Psittaciformes; Psittacidae
Exons: 3
Source: RefSeq, a predicted model, not a curated record